UACGUAGGCAGCAAGCGUUGUUCGGAAUUACUGGGCGUAAAGAGUGUGUAGGCGGUGCUCUAAGUCUGGUGUGAAAUCUCCCGGCUCAACUGGGAGGGUGCGCCGGAAACUGGAGUGCUUGAGGGUGGGAGAGGUAAGCGGAAUUCCUGGUGUAGCGGUGAAAUGCGUAGAUAUCGGGAGGAACACCUGAGGCGAAGGCGGGCUACUGGGCCGAUACUGACGCUGAUGCGCGAAAGCCAGGGGAGCGAACGGG
Molecule: ribosomal RNA, 253 nt
Filed under: uncultured prokaryote
Description: partial 16S ribosomal RNA
Rfam family: Bacterial small subunit ribosomal RNA
Source: RNAcentral